GCGGCCUACCAUGCAGUCGAGCGGAUGACGGGAGCUUGCUCCUUGAAUUCAGCGGCGGACGGGUGAGUAAUGCCGAGGAAUCUGCCUGGUAGUGGGGGACAACGUUUCGAAAGGAACGCUAAUACCGCAUACGUCCUACGGGAGAAAGCAGGGGACCUUCGGGCCUUGCGCUAUCAGAUGAGCCUAGGUCGGAUUAGCUAGUUGGUGGGGUAAUGGCUCACCAAGGCGACGAUCCGUAACUGGUCUGAGAGGAUGAUCAGUCACACUGGAACUGAGACACGGUCCAGACUCCUACGGGAGGCAGCAGUGGGGAAUAUUGGACAAUGGGCGAAAGCCUGAUCCAGCCAUGCCGCGUGUGUGAAGAAGGUCUUCGGAUUGUAAAGCACUUUAAGUUGGGAGGAAGGGCAGUAAGUUAAUACCUUGCUGUUUUGACGUUUCCUACAGAAUAAGCACCGGCUAACUCUGUGCCAGCAGCCGCGGGUAAUACAGAGGGUGCAAGCGUUAAUCGGAAUUACUGGGCGUAAAGCGCGCGUAGGUGGGUUUGUUAAGUUGGAUGUGAAAUCCCCGGGCUCAACCUGGGAACUGCAUCCGAUACUGGCCAGCUAGAGUACGGGAGAGGGUGGUGGAAUUUCCUGUGUAGCGGUGAAAUGCGUAGAUAUCUGAAGGAACUACCAGUGGCGAAAGGCCACCAUCUGGACUGAUACUGACGCUGAAGUGACGAAAGCGUGGGGAGCAAACAGGAUUAGAUACCCUGGUAGUCCAUGCCGUAACGAUGUCUACUAGCCGGUGGAGGCCUUGGAGCUUUAGUGGCGCAAGCUUACCGCCUAUAAG
This 831-nucleotide ribosomal RNA is filed under the name uncultured bacterium. RNAcentral describes it as "bacterial SSU rRNA". It matches the Rfam family "Bacterial small subunit ribosomal RNA", at positions 42 to 864 of the family's 1533-position model. The record is from RNAcentral.